GUCAUUAAGGCAUUAGUUUCCCCGAGAAGACAGAUCUGAAGAAAAUUCAAGAAAAUGGGAAAAUUGAUAGAAAGAAGGCAAGUCCAAAUCCCACCAACACAAGCCCUGCUGGACUAAGAGGCAGUUUGGAUGCCCUGAUGAACGCGUUUGGUCCAGCAGCAGCCUGCACGUGAAGCUGAGCAUCACUCUCCUGCCCCAUGCACAGAAUGUUGCAGAUGCCAACACCAAUGGGACGCAAAAUUCUGCCCACAGCACUCCCAUGUGUGCUGAUGAGACAAGAACUGACCAGGAAAGGUCUCAACCAGCUGGUAAAGUGUAUUCCUUCUGCUCCCGUCUACCAACAGCUGUGCUCCUGAGGUCCCCUUUUUUAGAAGCAAGUGAAGAGACCUCAGUAAGAACAGCAGUGUGAUAACAGUUGUGGGGUGAGCUGGGUUUUUCCUAUCAAACCAAAGUCUCUCUCUAACAAUGACAGAACCCCACAGGUCUUCUGGUGGGGAGCACAGCAUCCAAAAUCAUUGCAUGGGUAAAUGAAGACAGCUAAUGCUGUUUGCUGGUUUCAGCUUGAUGUAACCAAUUGCACUGGUCAAGUUAAGCUGCAUGACAGUGUGAAAUACUUAAAUAGCCAUUGUAGUGUUUCUGAGAGGACAGCUGGCUGCAGGUGCUCUGCAAGAUCACAGUGCAGCGUCAUGCUUUCAGAGCUCGCACAAUGGGCAGAGGCUCAGAAAUUUGGGUGGCAUGGAUGACACAGGUUCAGCAUGGCCAACCCCCCGCAGAGCUGCUUUCUGACUGCAGGGGAAGUCAUCUCCCGUGUCGCUUUUGAUUCAGGAGCUGUAUUUGGCCUCUGCGUGGGAGCAGAGCUAAAGGAGGAGCGCGGCAUUGCCUGCAGCAUUCGGCCUUCAGCAGAGCCCCGCGCCAGGCAACUCCUGCACAUCUGUGCUGACAGGGCCGUGACAGGAGGUCCCCAAACCAGCAGCCAUGCUUUCAUGCCUGUGCUGAAAGGAGAUGCACAGCAAGGCAGGCAGGAAGGCUGCACGAGGCAGUGCUGCUGUGCCUCCUGCCUGCACCGUGUCAGCCGGGCUGCGCCGUUCGCCCAUCUUUGCGGGAGCACAUCUGUGCAAUGGAAACCUGCGGGGUUUGCUGCACUCCUACUGACAGUUCAUAUUUUAAUCCUUUUUGUUUUCUCUUUAGGAAACAAUUCUCUGACCUUUUUUUGUGUGAAGUGCAAUGGCGAUAGAUAGCACUGUGCAGCGAGGAGUUCUGAAUGAUGGAAAUGCAGAGAUGUCUGCUGAGGUUUGCAUACUGCUGCCACCACGCAGAGGAGAUCUCAUACUGAAAGUGUGAUCACAGCUGAACCCCCAUAUGGAUUAUUUCAAUGGAAAGUCAAGAAAACAGCUAUUGAUUUCUCUUUCAUGAAUAUAAAGCAGAGAUCUUGUGUAAGAGAAGACAACGUUAAAAUAACCAAGCACCAGAAGGGGCUAAGGGAAAAGCCUGAGGUUAGAGCAGAAAGAAAUGCUUGUAUUCAAAGUUUAUAACCGUUUUGAAAUAAUAAAAACUGUGGUUAAACUAUUUACUUCAAUUAGCUUCAUGGUCAGGAAAACCACCAUCACUUAGAUCCCACUUAUAAAAAUGUGUUCUACACCAUUCUGAAACCCCAGAAGACAAUAAAAAACUGUGGGCUUUCUGAUGUUUGAGUGUGCUGGGAUUAGGUGCAAGUUGCUGGGCGUUCCUAGAAACACUAUUUCAGAACAUUUGAACACUCCAACUUUUGGAUCGGUCCGUGCAGUUGGGCUACGUGUGCGAUAGGGGUGCCUGGCUGUGAUGAGAUGGACUUGUGAUGCUGCUGCCUUCCCUGAGCUUCACCUCCUCCAGCUGAGCAUUGUGGCCCCGGCGAAGUCAACCAAGAGUUUGCCGUAGACUUAAUGGAGCCAGAAUUCCAUCCCAGGAGAGGAACAACUGAAGUAGAGUGCCACGGGCUGGUGGCCUGUAGCAAUCUCAGGUGAUGCAGGAGCGAAAAUGUCCUUGUCACGUAACUGAUGUCCUCAGCCCAAGGUUCCCUGAUUUCACUCUGGAUUUUCUGCUGCGUUUCUGUUCAUUGUUGUUGCAGCUCUGUGGAUAACGUGUUAAGGGGUUGUUCUUAAGAAAGAAAGAUUUAACUUUUUUAAAGGGACGGGUGAUUUGUAGAAGACGUUUGUGUAAUUUUGUAUUCUAAAUGUGAUUUAUUUUUAUAAAUAAAUUUGCAUAAAAUCUCC
Molecule: long non-coding RNA, 2249 nt
Organism: Gallus gallus (chicken)
Lineage: Eukaryota; Metazoa; Chordata; Aves; Galliformes; Phasianidae
Source: Ensembl